UCCACCUCUACAGCGGGGGUGCAAAUGCACAUGUAUCAAUAUAGUAGGCUGUGAAAAGUUUGAGUGAAUGGAUAUUAAAAUUAUAACCAUUCGGCUUGAAUAUACAAACAAACAUACAUACUAUAUUUACAAAAGCCAAAUAAAUCACUAUAGUUAAAAUUCUGCAUUUGCCGUUAGUUUUAUUGUAGUUUGCCUAUUUAUUUACUUGGCGCAAUUUUCGUGCUGGAAAUGUAAUCACGCCGAUGUACUCUAAGGACAAGUGCCAGUGACCUAGAUAUUUUGGGAGCCCUGCGCCUGAUACUCCGACAAGCAACAACAACACCACCGUCGCCGUAUCUCUGGCUCGAGCCUUAAUCCUCUUACCGACCGACCGAGCGGUGUGCACAACCACACACAAAGUAAAGGUCACAAACCGCGCGAGGCAAGACUUUUUUGGUGGGUGGUAACCGCGCGAAUCGAGCUUAUAUGUGUGUGUGUGUGACCAGGACUGGACAUGCGUAACAACAGUGGCUACAGCCUGGCCAGCAACAGUCUGAAUAACAACAACAACAACUGUGCCCCCCAACAAAGCGCAGGAUCACCUGCCGCCCGCGGCUUCUCCAAUGUGGACAAUACAACGCUUUAUUACUGCAAUUACGACAACUGUAACCUGAACGCCACCUGGAGCCGGAGUCAAAAUCAAAAUCAGAACCAUCCGAACCUACAGCAACCGUCAAAGCGAAUUCCCACCAAGCAUGCCAGCAGAUUUCACUACCAACAAUCGGCGGCCAAUUCGGCGCCGGACUCUUCGCUCUAUGCUGAUGCCUUUGCACAGCCAUCGCUGAUUAACCAGCGGAUGAUAGCUGGAAACAACAAGAGCUGCGAGUACCUUUACCACAAGAGCCAUCGGCGAGCAGAGGAGCAGCAGCAACAGCAGUACAAGCUACUGCGUCCCUAUGUCACUGCCGACAAGGAGCAGCAGCAGCGUCAAUCCAUCGUUUACUUCGAUCCGGAGCUUAAGAAACGGAAAGCCCGCUUGCCCGAGUAUACGGACAAUAGUCCGGAUCGAUAUCGCGCCUCACCAGAGCUGACAUGGGAUGCCAUACUCAGCUCCGAACGUCCAACGCAGUAUCACACCCAUUAUCAGCACUAUUUCUCCUACUUUUACAACCGUGGAGGAGGCGAGCAGGAGCUUCUGUCCAAUACCUCGUUUGCCUCCAAUAAUAGCCGCAAACUGCCAAUGAGUAAAUUUCAAAAGUCAGUCGCUGUAGCCGUCAGUCCUCGUGGAGAUGCCAGCACCAAUGACACCCUCAUUAGUGGUCGCCGGGAGACUUCCGAGGAGCGCAGCUGGCCAUCUCUCAAGUAUGAAAAACAUGUGCUGAAGGAAAAGCUCCCGAACAAUGGUUUGGACACAGAUUGUGGCUGGGUUGAGGCGGAGGAUGAUGGCGAGAUUUACCGGGAAACCAAAGAAGUCUAUGACGCAUCUGUGGUAAUUGAUGGAUUCGAACAGAUUCAUCGUCGCUAUUGCCGUAUUUCCGAGAAUACGGCCAUCGAGGAUGCUGGAGAUUGCUUACUCAAUAACAAUAAUAAUGAAUUGAAAUAUGUACGUAAAUCGGUGGUGGAUCAGCCGGUGCCACGGCUGCCAAUGACGCCAAAGAGGGUGAAAGGUGGCGCAUCCGUGUCCGUCAAAAAGCCAAUGCCCACAGUUCACCGAGUGCUGCUUUACAGCACGCAAAGUCCCAGGAUGGGACGCAAGCAGCUAAGCAAUCAGCGGAGUCUCAGUCUGAAGCAGCAGCAAGGCAACAACAAGUCGCAGGGCGACGCACACACGGUAAUUCUAAUGGAGCCGGAAGCCAAGCCAGAUGGCCAACGCAGUCCCGAUGACUAUGAUCGCAACGAGGACUUUGAUGACGACGAUGACCUGGACAAUCUUUCGAAUUUCGAUGAGAGCGACACGGCCAGUGUUCUCUCGGACACCGAGGACGGUUAUCGUGCGCAUGCCUACAAGCUAACGCAUUCCACGGAUCGCUUUACAUCGCCCCAAAGCACGCCCAGCUAUCUGUCUUCCCAGUCUUCCGAGGAUGAUCUUAAAAAUCCCGAUUCCCUGCUUGUGCCCAGUCUAUUUCCCCACGUGCCGCCCUAUCUGUCCUUCUCGUCAAACACCAAAAAGGGCCCGAGAGUGCCGCCAGAGCUUCAUCGAGUGCUCAAGUGGCGCAUUACAAAUAUAAUGCCCAAGGUGGUGCGCCUUAUACUGGCCAACAGCGGCAUGAGGAUGCUGAAGAAAACCAACGACUGGAUGGGCGUGUGGGGCAAGCAUUUAAAGUCGCCCUGCUUCAAGACCAUUCGUUCGUAUCAGAAAAUCAAUCACUUGCCCGGCUCAUUUCGCAUUGGGCGUAAGGAUUCGUGCUGGAAGAAUCUGCAGCGGCAGAUGGGCAAGCAUAGCAACAGGGAGUUUGGCUUUAUGCCGCGCACCUACAUUAUUCCCAAUGAUCUGGGCGCCUUGAGACGUCACUGGCCAAAGUAUGCUCAGCGCAACACCAAGUGGAUUAUAAAGCCACCGGCCAGCGCUCGUGGAGCGGGCAUUCGGGUCAUUAAUCGAUGGGGACAGAUCCCUAAACGUAGGCCACUUAUUGUCCAGAAGUAUAUUGAAAGACCACUUCUGAUAAAUGGCAGCAAGUUUGAUCUGCGGCUGUAUGUUCUGGUGACCUCUGUAAAUCCUUUGCGGGUGUUUAUGUACCACAAUGGUCUGGCUCGAUUUGCUUCUGUUAAAUACAGUGCCAAGACGGACACUUUAAACGAUCGUUGCAUGCACUUGACCAACUACAGCAUCAACAAGUUCUCCUCCAACUAUUCAAAGAACGAAGAUGUCAAUGCCUGCCAUGGCCACAAGUGGACCAUCAAGUCGCUGUGGCAGUACUUGGCCAAUCGUGGUGUUCGCACGGAUUGCCUAUGGGAGGCCCUGCGCAGCUUGGUUCUUCGAACAAUUCUCGCUGGCGAGAAUGGCAUAAAUAGCAUGAUCCGGGCCAAUGUGGAGUCCAAGUACAGUUGCUUUGAGCUUUUUGGCUUUGAUGUGAUUUUAGACUCAGACCUCGUUCCCUGGCUACUGGAAGUGAAUAUAUCACCGAGCUUACACUCGGAACUGCCACUAGAUGCUCAUGUCAAGGCGCCGUUGGUGCAAGGCGUUCUCAACACGGCGUUGUACAAUGUACCUCCAAAACUAUCUAUGGAUAAGCAAAAAGAACUGGCUGCCGAGUUCUCAUUUCCGCCUGGCACACAAAUGUGCUAUGACAAGCGACUUUAUAUUAAUUAUUUAUCGCGAGAGGAAAAAGUGAAGCACAAUACCUUCACCAGGAAGUCCAUGGAAGACAGAAAUGAGUAUGUCAACGAGAUCCUGAAUAACCUAACCCCUGAUGACGUCCGCUGCUUGAUCAUUGCCGAGGAUGAAUUGGCGCGUUGUGCGCCACUAGAACGAAUUUUUCCAACUGAUCAAACCCAUAAGUACCUUAAAUACAAUGACAGUCCAAGGUAUUACAAUCGCCUGCUGGAUGCCUGGGAGUCGCGUUAUGCUAACAAUCGUACCGAGGGCAUCGCGCUAUUGCGCGACUAUUGUCAAAACAAAUAUCAUCUUCAGGUCCCAACACCGCCGGCCAAAAAGCCUUUGCCUUUUAACACAGGACUCGAACGAUGAAGAAAUCAACCCAACGACGAAACCAGAAACUGUUCAAGAUGGCAACAAUUCGUAGCAUUAGCCACUCCCCAAUGUUUUACAAUCCAUCAUAUUCAUUUAAACAGACUUCAUACAACAUCAGGAAAUAGCUUAUUUGGAAAACCAUCUUCGAUUUUUAAAUUGAAUUUUAGGAUGGAUUUCGGUGGUCUUCCGUAUUUUCGGUACCUAAGAAAUUUAUAUGUAACUCUAGUGUAAUUAGAACAAAAAGUUAUACAGUGAAUUAUUAAAUUAUAUGUUAUUUGAAUGAA
This is an RNA transcript of Drosophila kikkawai, 3954 nucleotides long. It is a transcript of the gene named Tubulin tyrosine ligase-like 4A, with no coding region annotated. NCBI's taxonomy places the organism in Eukaryota, Metazoa, Arthropoda, Insecta, Diptera, Drosophilidae. The record is from RefSeq and is a predicted model, not a curated record.